This 5603-nucleotide long non-coding RNA is filed under the name Papio anubis (olive baboon). RNAcentral describes it as "lncRNA (ENSPANG00000036908.1)". Lineage: Eukaryota; Metazoa; Chordata; Mammalia; Primates; Cercopithecidae. The record is from RNAcentral.
UAUAUAUCAUAUGUUUAUGUAUCAUAUAUGAUAUAUGAUAUAUAUAUAAUGCCCUGAAUACAUUAAUUACUUUGUUAAUUUUUUUGUUUAGUUGUUAUGAAAUGAACCUUUCAUUGGUACUGUGUAUUUUGUACUGAAAUCCAACAUAAGGCUUGAUAAGAAAUAAGUAGUAUUGACAGAAUGAACAACAGUUUCCAAUACCCUUGAGCACAACUGCACACCAUUUUCAUAUACAAGUUAAGCAGAUCUGAAACUCCUUGUUUUGAUGCGAUGUGAGUGUCUCUUUACAGGAGGCACAACACAUCAUUUCUCCUUUCAUUUCUCACCCCAUUAACUCCCUUGACAAAAGAUGUAUGCAGAUCCUGGGAGGAUUCAGUGUUUUCUCUGAAUGUUUCAGAUACGUUGAGCUGAAAGAGUGGGAGUGUCAUAUCAAUUUUAUUUAGAUAAAAAGUAUUUUUCAAAAAUAAUAUUUUUCUUAGGUGUCUACAGACUCCUUAUAUAAAAUUUUACAGAGUGUAUAGUCCCAAUGCUAUUUUCAACUCUGAAACUAAAGAUGCAUAGUCAGAAGAUAACUUUGAAAAUGAUGUGAUUUGUUAUAUUCAAAUGAGACAAUUUGAAAAUUGAUUGUAAUUAAAUUUGUACUCAACCUUAUCAUCCACAUUAAUUCAGAAAUAUUGGAAUGGUUAGAUAGAAAGAGCACUUAUUUUAUAUCCAUAAUAUGGACUUGCUCUUUUUUAUAUGCAGUAGAUAAUAUGGAAUAUAAAUUACUUCUGUAAAAUGGAAAAUAUUGACAGUAUCAUACCAGAGAAGAGGUAAUGCUACCUGAAAACCCCAACACAUUCAUUUGCAUUUAUUGAUAUGAACAGUGUUGCAGUAUUCUUUUACUGCCAGCCCCUCCUUUUUUUUCCUCAUAGUGAUUUCAUUUAUGUAUUUUUUAAAUUUUUUUUUUUUUUUUUUUUGAGAUGGAGUCUUGCUCUUUCACCCAGGUUAGAGUGCAACGGUAUGUCAUUGGCUCAUUGGCUCACUGCACCCUCCACCAUCUGGGUUCAAAUGGUUCUCUCCUGCCUCAACUUCCCAAGUAGCUGGGAUUACAGGCAUGUGCCACUAUGCCCAGCUAAUUUUGUAUUUUCAGUAGACGGGGUUUCAUCAUGUUGGUCAGGCUGGUCUCGAACUCCUGACCUCAGGUGAUCCACCUGCCUCAUCCUCCCAAAGUGCUGGGAUUACAGAUGUGAGCCACCGCACCCAGCCUGAUUUUUCAUUUUCUAAAACUUCUUUUGUUUAUUUAUUCCUCUAUGAAUACGCAGUUCUUAUAUUGACUUUAUAUGCAGAAUAUUGCUCACUCUUUAAGAUCUGUCACAAUGGCUGGCUCCUUCCAGAUAGCAUUCCCACAUCCCUGUGUGGGAAUACGCUUUUUCUCCGGUGCUCUCCCAAGGUCAAAUUAUUUUUUGUUUGAUAAUCAUGCCAUUUCCUUGCUUAAUCCACUUUGAAGAUCACACUCUGAAGAUCCAAACUCCUCAUCAUAGCCAAAAAGACCCGAAGGAUUUGGUGCCAGACAACUUACCAGAUAUCAUACCCUUUCUCAAUCUCUCCCUAUUUGCCCACUCCAGCCACGGGGGUGUUCACUUUUGUUCCACAAAUAUGCCAAACUUAUCCCUCCUGGGUGUCCCCUCUACUAGUUUUUACUUCCCAUUUUAAAUUCUUCUCUGACAUGAACUCAUCAUGGAUUCCUCUCAGUUACUCAUAUCUUGGCUUCAAUGGCUUCAAGUCAGAGGCAGCUUUUCUGACCACCAAUCUGAAUUAAACUCCCAGUGUGCCUCUAGUACAUCAACUUGCUUGAUUGGUUUUAUUGUACAUUAUUAGUCCUUAAUCAUAUCUUAUCAAUUAAUAAUUCAUUUGUUGAUUUUCUGUCACCCUCAACUGCAAUGUGAAAUCCAGGCGAGCAGAAACAUACUGGGUUUGUUGAAGUCUAUACCAAGGCACUCAAAUAGGUGUAUGAAAUAUAUGGAGAAAAAUUUUUGAAUAAAUGAAUGAAUUACUAGAUAAAUGAAUAUAAUAAAGUUCAUGCAUGCAUAAAUACAUGCUAGACACUCUACUUGGUACUGAAAAUAGCUUUAGAGUACAGGGAGCGUGCACUAUUUCAAAGAUAGUUUUUUUUGACAUAGUGUUUUUUUUUGUUUUUGUCCUUACUUUUUCCUUUAAGAAGUAUCCAUUGAGAUGAUCUGAAACUUGGGUAAAAUUUUUCCAGGUAGUUAUGAAUAAAAGAGGAGAAAGCCAUUCCAUUAAAGAUGGAAAAGUCUAUGGAUAUCGUGAGAUGGGAAGAAAGGCUGAGUACUUGAAAGAAGGACAGAGAGACAGGAAUACACUGAACUGAGAAUGGGCCACUGGGCAAAGUAGGCCAUAGGGCCUGAGAUGAGACAAUGGCUCCUGGAAACAAGCCUGCAAUGUAAUGUUAGAUACAGAUAACUAAACAGCCAAUAAACAAUGUGAUGGGAUGGUCAAAACAAAAGGAACCUGACACAGGUUCUAGGAUGAGUGGACAAGCUGUUGGCAGUGGGACGGUCCAGGGUUGGGGGAAGCAGUGUGCAGGUGAUCAGAUAAGAGGAGAUAGGUGUUCUGGGCAGAGUGUGAUCAUGUGAAACCCCCACGAAUUAGGAGGGCUAUAGUUGAGAAGCUGAAAGUUUUGUAGUGUAUACGAUCUAGCAUGGUGUACAGUAAGUCCUCAGAAAAUACCUUUUAUUUAACAUAGUUUCAUAAUAAUGUUGAUGAGACUAAAAAAUGUCGAAUCUCAGCCAGGGCCACCAUCUGUGCAGAGUUUGUGUGUUCUCCCCAGAUUGGCGUGGGUUUUCCCUAAGUCUUCUGGUUUCCUCCUUCAUUCCAAAGCUGUGCACAUUAGGUGAAUCAGUGUGUUUCUAAACGGUCCCGGUGUGAGUGGGUGUGGAUGUGAGUAUGAGAAUGCCCUACAAUGGAACAGUGCCCUGUCUGGGGUGGGUUCCCGCCUUGCACCCUGAGCUGCCGGCAGGCUCCGGCCAUCCACAACCCUGAACUGAAAUGACUGGGUGAAUAGUUAUUUUAUGUACAUUUAUUCAUCUCUCUCUCUUUUUUUUUUUUUUUUUGAGACGGAGUCUCGCUCUGUCCCCCUGGCUGGAGUGCAGUGGCGCGAUCUCACUGCAAGCUCCCCCAACCCAGGUUCACGCCAUUCUCCUGCCUCAGCCUCCUGAGUAGCUGGGACUACAGGCGCCCGCCACGAUGACCGGCUAAUUUUUUGUAUUUUUGGUAGAGAUGGGGUUUCACUGUGUUAGCCAGGAUGGUCUCUAUCUCCUGACCUUGUGAUCCACCAGCCUCGGCCUCCCAAAGUGCUGGGAUUACAGGUGUGAGCCACCGCGCCCGGCCUCAUCUCUCUUAAAUGUCUAUAUAACUCACAUCCAUUUCAGUGUCUAAUGUAAGAAGUGUUUUGAUCUUUAUUUUGAAGUUUUGUGAUGUUCCUGUGAUCAGAAAUCUGCCCCAGGAACUUACAUCUUGUUUAUAUCAAGUAGCCUAUGGUAAAACUGGUUUCAUUAGGUGGCAUUUUGAAUAAAGUUGCAGUUCCCAAGAACUAUUGAUGUUGUUAAGUGAGGACUUACUCUAUCAGGCGGGGCAGUGCCUCUAAUAAAAGUUGGAAAAACAAAGAUCAUCCCAUGAAGAGCCUGUGAGACACAAAGUUAGCGCAUGUUUAUCACUAGAAUUACCUUAUGCUGCUCAGCAAACACAAGGAGCGCUCUGUGAUUAUGUUGGAGAAUUCAGUUUAAGGCGUAGUGAUACCCCAGAUACAUUCAUGCCAAGUUUUAGUAUUUCCUCUCUUUAAGAAGACUCUUUAUUUUGAAAGAAAAUACAACCAUAAUUAAACUAUCAAAAGGCUACAACAGGCCGGGCGUGGUGGCUCAUGCCUGUAAUCCCAGAACUUUGGGAUGCCGAGGCGGGCGGAUCACGAGGUCAGGAGAUCUAGACCAUCCUGGCUAAGACGGUGAAACCCCUUCUCUACUAAAAGUACAACAAAAAUUAGCUGGGCUUGGUGGCGGGCACCUGUAGUCCCAGCUACUCAGGAGACUGAGGCAGGAGAAUGGCGUGAACCCUGGAGGCGGAGCUUGCAGUGAGCCAAGAUUGCAUCACUGUUCUCCAGCCUGGGCAACAGUGGAAGACUCCCUCUGAAAAAAAAAAAAAAAAAAGCUACAACACAACAUCUUGCACUUCUGAAAAAAUACCAUUUGCAAAAAACAAAACAAAACAAAGCAAAAAACCAAACAACCAAACCAACAACAACAACAAAAAACUCCCUUUUGCACAAUUGAAGAAGCAGUUAUCCUAUAUUUCACCCCGUCUGUCAGACCCCAGGGGUAUACAGCACAUAUGCUUUCUAUCUGGUUUCAAACAUGUGCUUAGAUGGCAGGCAUCCCUUGGGGCAAAAGGAAAAAUGAAUUUCAAACAACAUGAAAAAAUGGAAUAAAUAUCAUGCUUAAAAACUGAAUUUCCCCAUCUGCCUCAUCAUAUGCAGCAAAAACUAAAGGAUCCUACCGCUCUUCACAGAAACAUUCCUUAAAGAUGUUCAUUGAGAAUUUUUGAACAUUUAUUAUGUUAUUAGGUUAUUUAUGACUGGGAAAAAAUAUUAUUAAAACUGAGAAUAUGGGAAUGUUUUUAGUUAUAAAUUCAAUUAACAAGGUGAUGGGGCUAAAUGUGUUCUUUACACAUGAUUUAUUGUAUCUAAGGACCUUGUGUCUGUCAAGAGUUUCAGUAGCAGCUUCCAUAUGGGAAGGAUGUCUUGCGAUGGUGUAUGCAACAUGAAAAGAGUCUGACAAGUUGGAAGAUAUAUAUACACACACACAUAAAUAUAUAUAUAUGUAUGUAUGCAUAUACAUAUACACCAGAAAUAGAUAUUCAUUUAAGACAUUUCAUUAAAUGAAUGUGAAGUAAUUCACAGCAUAAAAAACAAAUUUAGAAAUAUAAGAAAAAAUAAACUUUAGAACAUACAACCACUAAGAAUGUAGUGAAAUCUAUGAGAAGAAAUAUUAACUGAGUAUGACACUCUUAAAUAUUUGCAAUGUGAGUUAGCUUUCUUGAAGUGGAAGGGGAUCCAUGAAUUUUGACAUCUGGGAAACAUAGAAGAGGGGGAACAUUCCAUUCCUUCAAAAUUCUAGAGGAAAAUAGAAAUAUGGAACUUACUUUUUUUACAAACCACUUAAACUGGUUUCUUACAGACCAGGCACUAUUCUAACUUUUAGAAUUAGCAUAUACAAAUAUGAACCACAAAGUCCUUAUAAACAAUCCUAUUAGAUGCACACUAUUAUUGGACCUAUAUUAUUUCAUGUUGUAGGUGAAAGAAAUGGGAAAUGGAGAGGUUAAGUAACUGCCACUACCAAUAAGUGGCUAAGCUGAAUUGGAAACUAGGCCAUUCAAUAUGAAUUCUGUGCUUGGAACUUCUACAGUUUGGUGGCAUAUCCAACACAUCUAAACUGCAACCUUAAGGGAGGAGACCACCCCUCAUAUUGUCUUAUGCCCAAUUUCUGCCUCCAAAGAAAGAAGAAGUAAAAACUAAAAGGCAGAAAUGAAAUCCACAGGCAGACAGCCCAGCA